Molecule: ribosomal RNA, 630 nt
Filed under: uncultured bacterium
Lineage: Bacteria
Description: bacterial SSU rRNA
Rfam family: Bacterial small subunit ribosomal RNA
Source: RNAcentral
GGGAGUACGGCCCGCANGGUUGAAACUCCAAAGGAAUUGACGGGGACCCGCACAAGGCGGUGGAUGAUGUGGUUUAAUUCGAUGCAACGCGAAAAACCUUACCUACCCUUGACAUGCCCUGGAAUCCCUGCAGAGAUGUGGGAGUGCCUCGAAAGAGAGCCCAGGACANCAGGUGCUGCAUGGCCGUCGUCAGCUCGUGUCGUGAGAUGUUGGGUUAAGUCCCGCAACGAGCGCAACCCUUGUCAUUAGUUGCUACGAAAGGGCACUCUAAUGAGACUGCCGGUGACAAACCGGAGGAAGGUGGGGAUGACGUCAGGUCCUCAUGGCCCUUAUGGGUAGGGCUACACACGUCAUACAAUGGCCGGUACAGAGGGCUGCCAACCCGCGAGGGGGAGCCAAUCCCAGAAAACCGGUCGUAGUCCGGAUCGCAGUCUGCAACUCGACUGCGUGAAGUCGGAAUCGCUAGUAAUCGCGGAUCAGCUUGCCGCGGUGAAUACGUUCCCGGGUCUUGUACACACCGCCCGUCACANCCAUGGGAGCGGGUUCUGCCAGAAGUAGUUAGCCUAACCGCAAGGAGGGCGAUUACCACGGCAGGGUUCGUGACUGGGGUGAAGUCGUAANCAAGGUACC